RNAcentral lists this microRNA precursor (101 nucleotides) under Pelobates cultripes (western spadefoot toad). Lineage: Eukaryota; Metazoa; Chordata; Amphibia; Anura; Pelobatidae. The record is from RNAcentral.
CUUAUUAAAACCAUUUACGCGUUUCACCUUUGGGGUUUUUACCAUUUUGAGAAAACCCCAAAGGUGAAACGCGUAAAUGGUUUUAAUAAGUGUAUUUUAAU